UCCUCCCUCUUUCCUCGUGCUUAACACAUGCAAGUCGAACGGAAAGGCCCUGCUUUUGUGGGGUGCUCGAGUGGCGAACGGGUGAGUAACACGUGAGUAACCUGCCCUUGACUUUGGGAUAACUUCAGGAAACUGGGGCUAAUACCGGAUAGGAGCUCCUGCUGCAUGGUGGGGGUUGGAAAGUUUCGGCGGUUGGGGAUGGACUCGCGGCUUAUCAGCUUGUUGGUGGGGUAGUGGCUUACCAAGGCUUUGCCGGGUAGCCGGCCUGAGAGGGUGACCGGCCACAUUGGGACUGAGAUACGGCCCAGACUACUACGGGAGGCAGCAGUGGGGAAUAUUGCACAAUGGGCGGAAGCCUGAUGCAGCAACGCCGCGUGCGGGAUGACGGCCUUCGGGUUGUAAACCGCUUUCGCCUGUGACGAAGCGUGAGUGACGGUAAUGGGUAAAGAAGCACCGGCUAACUACGUG
Molecule: ribosomal RNA, 468 nt
Filed under: uncultured bacterium
Lineage: Bacteria
Description: partial 16S ribosomal RNA
Rfam family: Bacterial small subunit ribosomal RNA
Source: RNAcentral